AAAUCGGAGUGGCUGAGUCGAUUGAGAGGCCGGGCGGAGACACGGCGCCUCGGGUGCCGUCUGGGGGUCCUGGGGCCACCUUGUGUGCGCUGCGCGGAGAAGCCCCGAGAUAAGGGGGUGGCUGGCAGCUAACACAGGGAGAGGAACAAGAAACUCACCCAAACUGUUCUUUAAUCGCCAAAUGGCCAGCACACGCUGGUCCCUGUCUGCUCCCAUUACGCAGAUGAGGAGACCGAGGUCCAAGAAGAAACAAGGUGUUUACUCAGCAGCUCCAGGAAGGAGGAAGUCUGGGUUGAGCGCCCCACUCCAGGAGCCCUCAGCUCAGCUGCCACUCUCCUUGUGUGGGCGUGAGCUUCCUGUGGGCCCCUCCCCCUAAAGCAGCUACCUCUGCUCCCACCAAGACCCCCGACCUCUGCCCCCCUGCACAGAGCGAGCGCACCUCGUCCAGUCUCCCUCCCGCUGGCAAAGACACCACGCCAGAGCGCGAUGCUCAGCUAAUAAAUAUGUAGCAGGAUUUUUAUUACUUAAUAGUUGUAAGGUUAAUCGUCGCGGUGAACGCCUAUAUUUAAUGUGUCAAUGGAGCUGCAAAAUGCCAAACUGAAUAGCUUUAACACACAUUAGUUCUACUUGUGAAUCUACAAAUAGGAACCUUGUCAGCAAAGUAUUCAAACCAAGAUCAGUAUUGAUUUGGGUCCUCGAGAAAGGCACUGGACUGUGACAGUUUAAAAUGAUAAAUGUCGAGAGAAUUAUUUGCCCGUAUUGAUAAAAAGCUGCAGAUAUAAAGCUGACAGUCUCGGAGGAGGCGUCGCCGCCGAGCGCGGGCAGCACAUCUGACGUUGUUGGGCUCUGAACUAAUCUCUCCUUUGAUAUGGAGACGAUCUGCCUCUGAUCCGGCCCUGCCCUCCCCGGAGCUGGCCUGGCAGUAAUUGCACAGGAGGCAGCUCAGUUGGCUCGAGGGGCCCUGCCCCGGCCACCUCACUCUAUGCUUGGAAGGGAGCGCUCUGCAGGAACCCACGGCUCCUAUCCACUCACCUUCUGCGCCUCACAGAGCAAGACUGAAGUCCUCAGCCUCGUGGGUCUCGGGCCACGUCAGCUCCCACGGCUGACCCCAUGGAGU
Molecule: non-coding RNA, 1117 nt
Organism: Oryctolagus cuniculus (rabbit)
Lineage: Eukaryota; Metazoa; Chordata; Mammalia; Lagomorpha; Leporidae
Source: RefSeq, a predicted model, not a curated record